UGUCCCUCUACAGUUACGGAAUCCGAGUAGCGAGUACAUGCAAAAUUAAACGAAAGAGAUGUAAAAGAAAAACCUUUUUAAAUGUCUUAAUAAGUGUCCAACUAUUGCAAUGACUGUGGAACUAGGAACUACACCCACAAGGUGAAGGAAUUCAUUUGAACAUCUUGAACCAAUAUGUCCACGUUCCGCUUCGCCAAUCGUACAGCCUCAUCAACGGAAGCAGACAAGUUAAAGGUUAGUAGUUCAGAUUUAGGAGUUGAACGCUCUUUAUCAUUGUCCACUGUUUUCCCCUUUCUGCGUAAA
This is a long non-coding RNA of Daphnia pulicaria, 303 nucleotides long. RefSeq lists it as uncharacterized. NCBI's taxonomy places the organism in Eukaryota, Metazoa, Arthropoda, Branchiopoda, Diplostraca, Daphniidae. The transcript has 2 exons. The record is from RefSeq and is a predicted model, not a curated record.